This 484-nucleotide ribosomal RNA is filed under the name uncultured bacterium. Its description in RNAcentral is "partial 16S ribosomal RNA". It matches the Rfam family "Bacterial small subunit ribosomal RNA", at positions 30 to 507 of the family's 1533-position model. The record is from RNAcentral.
AUUGAACGCUGGCGGCAGGCCUAACACAUGCAAGUCGAGCGGAUGAAGGGAGCUUGCUCCUGGAUUCAGCGGCGGACGGGUGAGUAAUGCCUAGGAAUCUGCCUGGUAGUGGGGGAUAACGUCCGGAAACGGGCGCUAAUACCGCAUACGUCCUGAGGGAGAAAGUGGGGGAUCUUCGGACCUCACGCUAUCAGAUGAGCCUAGGUCGGAUUAGCUAGUUGGUGGGGUAAAGGCCUACCAAGGCGACGAUCCGUAACUGGUCUGAGAGGAUGAUCAGUCACACUGGAACUGAGACACGGUCCAGACUCCUACGGGAGGCGGCAGUGGGGAAUAUUGGACAAUGGGCGAAAGCCUGAUCCAGCCAUGCCGCGUGUGUGAAGAAGGUCUUCGGAUUGUAAAGCACUUUAAGUUGGGAGGAAGGGCAGUAAGUUAAUACCUUGCUGUUUUGACGUUACAAACAGAAUAAGCACCGGCUAACUUCGUG